RNAcentral lists this ribosomal RNA (497 nucleotides) under uncultured bacterium. RNAcentral's name for it is "partial 16S ribosomal RNA". It matches the Rfam family "Bacterial small subunit ribosomal RNA", at positions 28 to 507 of the family's 1533-position model. The record is from RNAcentral.
GAUGAACGCUGGCGGCGUGCCUAAUACAUGCAAGUCGAGCGAACAGACGAGGAGCUUGCUCCUCUGACGUUAGCGGCGGACGGGUGAGUAACACGUGGAUAACCUACCUAUAAGACUGGGAUAACUUCGGGAAACCGGAGCUAAUACCGGAUAAUAUAUUGAACCGCAUGGUUCAAUAGUGAAAGACGGUUUUGCUGUCACUUAUAGAUGGAUCCGCGCCGCAUUAGCUAGUUGGUAAGGUAACGGCUUACCAAGGCAACGAUGCGUAGCCGACCUGAGAGGGUGAUCGGCCACACUGGAACUGUGACCCGGGCCAGACUCCGACGGGAGGCAGCAGUAGGGAAUCUUGCGCCAUGGUCGAAAGCCUGACGGAGCAACGCCGCGUGAGUGAGGAAGGUCUUCGGAUCGUAAAACUCUGUUACUAGGGAAGAACAAAUGUGUAAGUACCGAGGCACGUCGUGACGGUAGCUAUUCAGAUCGCCACGGCUAACGACUCA